GGCGGGAGGGGCCGGCCGCGGUGUACAGAGUGGAAGGUGGCCGGCGGUGCAAACGGCUUUUCGUUAUGGAGUUUGAUCCCACGAUGCAGGAGGGGCUGCGGAACAGCAGCGCCCGUUUCAUGGCAUCCAUGACCCGCAUCAUUGAAGAGUAUAGUCAUCCCUUCAGGGAUGACGUACUGAUUUCCAUCGACUCUUUGACGUACGAUACACCUGAGGGUAAGAACUCCUUAAGCUACAAUGUUUACAUACUGUAUGUGUAGACUGAGUAAAGCAUGUAAGUGUUGGCAGCUGCAGAAUAUUACAGUGUGACGAAUACUGACUUUUUUUCACUAAGAUACGAUAAAUCAUAUGUAGACUUUGGUAUAGUACCAAGACUUUACUCCCAUGUGCAUUAUUAGUCUAUCGUGUGGUCCAUUCUAGAUAAGACAAUGGUUAUUAGCAGAGUUCAUGGUAUAAAUGGGUAAUGUUUGGAUGACUUGAAGGAAGAAAAGAAAUGCAGACAUUAGCAGGAGAUGAUAUGCAUGAAUGGAUUAUGUAUUUUCAUCUCAACUUAGUAUUCUCAAUAAUGCUCUGAUAAAUUACUGCUGUGCCAAACAUCAGGGUGGAGUAGGUAGACACAGUUUUUAGAUUUCAUCUACCAACAGACCCAGGCUUGUUCGUAAAGACACAUCCACUAUUCCUCUGAGCAUAAACCUAAACUGUGUAGACCCAUGACAGUAUUUAUCCAGUUUUUCAUUGUAAUGGUUGAUCCACAUUCUUCAAUGUUGAACGGCGGAUCCCGUCCAGGCUCUGCGCGAGAGAAUUGCUCGCUGUGAGGGCGAGGUCCCCGCCGGCUCCAUAUCGCGCCUUCUCUCCACGUGGGCGCCGCAGAGGAAAAGCCGCUGCUGCCCUGGCCCCUCUGUCUGCAGCACAGCUGCCCAGGAGCGGCCAAGGGAACCGAGUUCCUUGCGAGCCCUGCCAAGACAGCAGCGCCCUGGUCGCCAAUUCCAGCCGCGCGUUCCCGGCCUCGUGGCCGCUCCCGGCGCUGGUGUCGGCCGCGUGGUUCCUCGCCGUGCCGGACGGGCCCGCGGCGC
Molecule: long non-coding RNA, 1073 nt
Filed under: Zonotrichia albicollis (white-throated sparrow)
Lineage: Eukaryota; Metazoa; Chordata; Aves; Passeriformes; Passerellidae
Description: lncRNA (ENSZALG00000016650.1)
Source: RNAcentral